UUCCCUCGAGCUGGCACCUGCCCGCCCCAUCAGCCCCUGUCAUUUCCUUCCCUGUGUUUCAGAUUGAGCUUUCAAAGCCCCGAGCAGCUGCUUAGCCAAGAAGUCAUUUAGAAAAUGGAAACAAACCACCCAGCACCUCAAGAAAAGCUCCUUCUCUGAAUCACAUCAAAAAAAAAAAUGUCUUUACUCACAUCUUGUUCAUGAUGCCCAGGAGGCCAAGGAACCAUUCUACCCAAGGGCAGAAGAGGAGUUAACCUGCAUCAGUGCCAGGAAGUAACAGACCAAAAGUCACUCUGGCUAUUGCUUGGAACAAGUUCUGCGCAACCAGUUACCGUUUCUCAAGUGUUCUGAAAGUGAGCCAAGAGCAGUCUGCAGA
This 376-nucleotide long non-coding RNA is filed under the name Mus spicilegus (steppe mouse). RNAcentral's name for it is "lncRNA (ENSMSIG00000030284.1)". Lineage: Eukaryota; Metazoa; Chordata; Mammalia; Rodentia; Muridae. The record is from RNAcentral.